RNAcentral lists this transfer RNA (74 nucleotides) under Myotis davidii. It matches the Rfam family "tRNA". Rfam says of the family: Transfer RNA (tRNA) molecules are approximately 80 nucleotides in length. Their secondary structure includes four short double-helical elements and three loops (D, anti-codon, and T loops). Further hydrogen bonds mediate the characteristic L-shaped molecular structure. tRNAs have two regions of fundamental functional importance: the anti-codon, which is responsible for specific mRNA codon recognition, and the 3' end, to which the tRNAs corresponding amino acid is attached (by aminoacyl-tRNA synthetases). tRNAs cope with the degeneracy of the genetic code in two manners: having more than one tRNA (with a specific anti-codon) for a particular amino acid; and 'wobble' base-pairing, i.e. permitting non-standard base-pairing at the 3rd anti-codon position. Lineage: Eukaryota; Metazoa; Chordata; Mammalia; Chiroptera; Vespertilionidae. The record is from Rfam by way of RNAcentral.
GCCGGUGUGGCUCAGUGGGUAGAGCGCCGGCCGGCGAAUAGAAGGAUCCCGGGUUCGAUUCCCGGUCAAGGGCA